This 73-nucleotide transfer RNA is filed under the name Stegodyphus mimosarum. It matches the Rfam family "tRNA". Rfam says of the family: Transfer RNA (tRNA) molecules are approximately 80 nucleotides in length. Their secondary structure includes four short double-helical elements and three loops (D, anti-codon, and T loops). Lineage: Eukaryota; Metazoa; Arthropoda; Arachnida; Araneae; Eresidae. The record is from Rfam by way of RNAcentral.
GCCUUCGUGGUGUAGUGGUCAGCACGCUUGACGCGUAUUCGAGAGGUCCGUGGUUCGAGUCCCGGCAAGGGCA